GCGAGAGCCAAGGCUUCUGGUCAGGGCAGCGGUACAGAGACAAACAGAGGCCUUUGGACUGGGGACCCCAGGCCCGGCCAAAGGAGAGAGACUUGCACCCAAAGCAAGGGCGUUAAGGGACCACGUACUCAUCGAAUGUCAGGACCCCCGGCCUCCCUCUCCCACCCAGAAACCAGCCCGCUGGCCGCUGGCCCUACCUACCCCCUCUGGAACAAAGUCCUCAAGGUUGUUUUCUGUGACCUCUGACCAGCCUCAGUGGAGAAGUCCCAGGGCCCUCUGGAGUCCCCAGGAAACAGCCCACCCGGACCAGCCCGCAGUGAGCUCCCAGCUGAGAAGGCCCCUCUUCCUGCUCCCCUGCUUCCUGCCCAGCUGAGAAGCCCCUCGGAGCUGCCAUCUGGCAUUCCGGCCGCCGUCCCUGAAAUAUGGACAGACAACCAAGGGUCCCAGCACACCGUCCCUGUCUGUCCCAGCACAAAAGCAAAACCAGAAAAUUUGAAAUUGCCUUUGUGGACCUCAUUCUGUGUCCCUUGCCACCUCACACCCACGACCUUCUCCUGCUCCCUGCCGCCGCCCCAACCACCACCUUCAGCGGUCACAUCCUGGCUGGAACUCAUGUUUGACCACCUCUGAGAUAAUCACACAGACGGCCCCUCUCCUGGCCCAGCUUCCUCCCUGCAUUCCAGCACCUGCACUCAAAUCCUCCCAACUGACCUCCUCCUCCACUGCCACUGCUCGCUUGCUUGCCAAUCCUCACUCUUUUGCCCCAUUCCUUAGUCUAAGCCACCGGGCAAGUCCCCCACCCUGGCUCAAUCCACGGGCGGAGCAGGGCUGGAGGAGAGCACGCAACCCCACAGAGCAGCACGCUGCUCGUUCAGGUUCUCCGGUCCCGGCUGGCCUCUCUGGGCUGCAUCCCUGGGGUUUCCCCAACCUGCUGUCCCUCCUGUUCUCGCAGUGACAGCCUGCAGAGUCCUUGCUUUCACGAGCCUGGCCUGCCCCGCCCCCUCUCUGCAGAAAGCCCCACCUCCCCCAGCGGAGAACCCCGAGGUGGGAACCCCACGUGCCCCUUCACUGAAACUUAGCAACACCUGCCGCUGUCCGCCCUGCGAGGGCUCCCAUUUACAACAACAGCAGCCCUCCUCCUGGGCUCUGGGAUCUGACCUGGCUCCCCGGCUUUCUCCGAUCCCAUCUUCUCCAGCUCCACGGCACCUUCAAACCUACCAGUUCCUUCCCAUCAACAUUUAAAUAAGCCACGUUUCUACAGUCUUAAAAAACAAAACCCAGCCUUCCCCUCAACCCCUAUCCUUCCACAGGUACUGCAACCUGAGCAGGGCCCCGUGGGGCUCCUGGGCACAAAACCCUUUCUGUGCCCCUCAUUUCCUGUUUUUAGGAAAUGGGCCUCCUUUUGCCUCCAUGGCCUUCCCUUGGUCCUUAGGGGCAGGUUCCGACAGCUGCUGAUCCGGGGAGGGAGGGGAAGCAGAGACAAGGAACAGUCUGGCAACAACAGCGCAGCCUGGGGGCAGGAUCCUGGGUCCCUCUCAAGGGAUACACACAAUGACGUAGGCACCUCACACACCUACAACUUAUGUGCCUGAUGCUUCUUUUAGAAAUGAGAACUUUAAACCUGAACAGGUUGGAGCCCCUCCUGUGCUCCUCCCUCCCUCGUUCGAUUGCACCCGAAACGCAGUCACCUGGGAGCUAACGAUUACACACCCUGCGCACAAUUGCCUGUGAGUUCAAGAUGAUUAGCACAAGAUGUUUUUCAGGAGCUUUCCUAGUUUGUUCUAGUCUCUGAUCAAUAUGCCCUUUUCGCAAGUACUGCUACUCUAGGCGAUAACCCAGAAGACCACCCCCAGGAUCCUGUCAAGAUCUCCUGACCCCAGCUUCGUGAGGAAGAUUCGCUAAAAAAAAAAAGAGCGCAUGUCUGCCCCAAUCCUGAUUCUUAUCUUAAACCCUGUUUUUCUCUUCUAGGCUAUAAAACUCCCUGCAAUUCUUCCCCCAGGGAGGGGGCACAGUCUUUAAGGCAUUAGUUGCUGUGGCCUCCUUUACCUGGCAAAGCAAGAAAAGCUAUUUUUUUUUUCCUUCACCCAAAACUCUGUCUCCGCGUUUCGGGACCAGUGGACAGAGGCCAAGUUUCGGCAACAGUACCACACUCUGUGCCCCUUACACAGCCUACCUGCUGCAAAGAAUCUUCCUCCUGAAUCCCCUCCCUUUCUUUUCCUCCCAUUCUUCAGUCCCUGAGAGCUGGCUCCCACCCUCCCUCUAAAUCCGCGUUCAUCAAGCUGGCCGGGACCUCGUGGGGACUUGCAGCUAACCCCGAGGACCUCCUCGGCCUUAUCCUCGGAUCUCUCCGCGUGUCUUAGCAUCCCCGUGGCCUCCCCCUGCCCUCCUGGGACACUCUCCCCCUGGCUCCUGAACCCCCUCUUGUCAGCGCUGCCUUUCCCCCCAGGACCCCUUUGGAGGUCGCGUGCCGCCGGGUGCUGGAGACCCAGCAAAGCAUCUGCUUCCCAUGCAGCCCCCUGAUGUGGGGGCCCCUCAAGGUUUUUCACACCCAACACACUGGCCCUGGGUGACCUCACCCACUGCACAGCUUCAGCUCUUCCGGAAGCUGAGGACACCGCUCCACUGCCUGAGCCAGAACUGCUCGUCCUCCCUCAGCCUGACUUUCCAACAGCCAACCAGUAACUUUUUUAUCACCAUAAGCAAAGUUCAAGAAUUGCAAUCUCUCCGGCAAGUGUCGUUCAAUGAUAAAUGGCAACUGAGGUUUGGCCUCCUGUUGAGUGACAAAGUGUGUGGUCCACCUAAAGGAGCCAUUGCUGAAGUUCCCAGGCAUCAGCAGAAACAAAUCCGACUAGGAACCAUGAGGUGGCCGGUUCGAUCCCUGGCCUCGCUCAAUGGGUUAAGGAUCCAGCAUUGAUGUGAGCUGUGGUGUAAGUUGAACACGAGGCUCAGAUCCCAUGUUGCUGUGGCUGUGGCAUAGGCCAGCAGCUGUAGCACCAAUUAGACCCCUAGCCUGGGAACUUCCAUAUGCCACAGGUGCAGCCCUAAAAAUCAAAAAAUAAAAAUAAAACAAAGGAGCCAUUGCUGGAGUUCCCGCUGUGGCUCAGCAGGUUAAGAACAGGACAUGAGGUCUGUGAGGAUGCGGUUUCGAUCCCUGACCUUGCUCAGUGGGUUAAGGAUCUGGCGUUGCCGAAAGCUGUGGUAAAGGUUGCAGAUGCAGCUCGGAUACGGCAUUGCUGUGGGUGUGGUGUGGGCUAGUAGCUGCAGCUCUGAUUAAACCCCUAGCCCAGGAACUUCCACAUGCCAUAGGUGCAUCCAUAAAAGGGGAAAAAAAAAAGACCUCACGAAAAAGAGAUCAGGGAGUUCCCUUGUGGUGCUGUGAGUUAAGGAUGCAACAUAGAUCGCAGCUACAGCUUGGAUUCUGUCCCCUGUCCAGGAAAUUCCAUAAUCAGCAGGCAUGGCUCUAAAUAGAAAAAAAAAAA
RNAcentral lists this long non-coding RNA (3479 nucleotides) under Sus scrofa (pig). RNAcentral's name for it is "lncRNA (ENSSSCG00060055503.1)". The record is from RNAcentral. Lineage: Eukaryota; Metazoa; Chordata; Mammalia; Artiodactyla; Suidae.